Molecule: ribosomal RNA, 466 nt
Filed under: uncultured bacterium
Lineage: Bacteria
Description: bacterial SSU rRNA
Rfam family: Bacterial small subunit ribosomal RNA
Source: RNAcentral
UGGGGAAUUUUGGACAAUGGGUGAGAGCCUGAUCCAGCCAUGCCGCGUGCAGGAAGAAGGCGUUAUGCGUUGUAAACUGCUUUUGCCAGGGGAUAAAAUGACCGUGCGCGGUUAAUUGAAGGUACCUGGUGAAUAAGCCACGGCUAACUACGUGCCAGCAGCCGCGGUAAUACGUAGGUGGCAAGCGUUGUCCGGAUUUAUUGGGUUUAAAGGGUGCGUAGGUGGCUAACUAAGUCAGUGGUGAAAUAUCUCAGCUUAACUGAGAGGGUGCCAUUGAUACUGGAUAGCUUGAGUACAGAUGAGGUAGGCGGAAUUGACGGUGUAGCGGUGAAAUGCAUAGAUAUCGUCAAGAACACCGAUAGCGAAGGCAGCUUACCAAGCUGUAACUGACACUGAGGCACGAAAGUGUGGGGAUCAAACAGGAUUAGAUACCCUCGUAGUCCCUGAGCGGGCUGGCAAGGCGCAU